GACGAACGCUGGCGGCGUGCUUAACACAUGCAAGUCGAACGCUGAAGCCCAGCUUGCUGGGUGGAUGAGUGGCGAACGGGUGAGUAACACGUGAGUAACCUGCCCCCUUCUUUGGGAUAACGCCCGGAAACGGGUGCUAAUACUGGAUAUUCACUGGCCUUCGCAUGGGGGUUGGUGGAAAGGUUUUUUCUGGUGGGGGAUGGGCUCGCGGCCUAUCAGCUUGUUGGUGGGGUGAUGGCCUACCAAGGCUUUGACGGGUAGCCGGCCUGAGAGGGUGACCGGUCACAUUGGGACUGAGAUACGGCCCAGACUCCUACGGGAGGCAGCAGUGGGGAAUAUUGCACAAUGGGCGAAAGCCUGAUGCAGCGACGCCGCGUGAGGGAUGGAGGCCUUCGGGUUGUAAACCUCUUUCGCUCAUGGUCAAGCCGCAGCUUUGGGUUGUGGUGAGGGUAGUGGGUAAAGAAGCGCCGGCUAACUACGUGCCAGCAGCCGCGGUAAUACGUAGGGCGCGAGCGUUGUCCGGAAUUAUUGGGCGUAAAGGGCUUGUAGGCGGUUGGUCGCGUCUGCCGUGAAAUCCUCUGGCUUAACUGGGGGCGUGCGGUGGGUACGGGCUGACUUGAGUGCGGUAGGGGAGACUGGAACUCCUGGUGUAGCGGUGGAAUGCGCAGAUAUCAGGAAGAACACCGGUGGCGAAGGCGGGUCUCUGGGCCGUUACUGACGCUGAGGAGCGAAAGCGUGGGGAGCGAACAGG
RNAcentral lists this ribosomal RNA (751 nucleotides) under uncultured Actinomyces sp. RNAcentral describes it as "bacterial SSU rRNA". It matches the Rfam family "Bacterial small subunit ribosomal RNA", at positions 28 to 776 of the family's 1533-position model. Lineage: Bacteria; Bacillati; Actinomycetota; Actinomycetes; Actinomycetales; Actinomycetaceae. The record is from RNAcentral.